UACAUUGUAAAUCCAUAUACUUUCAAUCUUGUUCAAUACGAUUCUUCUUCUUCAAUUCAAUUUGCUCUGCAAAUUUCUGACAGUGUGACGUUUUUUUCUUGGCAUCUUCUGUAGGAGCCUCGAAGAAAGGGCAUCCUAUAACCUCCAACCUUCAAUUUCGUUGGAUGCUCGGUGGUCAUCAUCUCACCUCAUGCUGCCAAAUCCAGCUGUUUCAUUUGCUUUACAGAUGGGUUCCAACCUCCGUGCAUUUUGAAGGCUCCCCCGUUCACUUGUACUUGAAACAGGUUCACUAGCUUCACCUGUUGGAGCUUGGAAAGAUAAUGCAGUUCAUAUUAUCAGUAAGAUGCUCAACCAACCAGUUAUAUGUAUUUUUGUGCCAAUACUUCCUCAUAUGUUGGCUAAGGAGGUGGUAAAUGCUAUUGAAUGCAACAAUGGAAAGUAUGACUUGAAGUAAGAUUUUUGAAGAUUUUGUUGAAAGCGGAUUUCAUCUUUUUUUUUUGUCGUGACAUCUCCUAAACGGAUUAUAGAACUGAUGCAAGAGGAAGGCUUGACUAAUGGUGAAGGGAAAAGCUAUUUACAAGUAGCAGAGUUGAUGUGGAGAAUAUGGUCUCUUAAUUUUGAUUUAUGGGUUGAAGAAUUGGUGCUCUAAAAAAGAGAGAAGAGAUAGGGGCUGAUAAGGGAGUGAUGCUAAAAAGGGAACACCGAACUUGGACCUGUGCUGGACUUAUCCCUUAAUUUUGAUUAUGGUUUAGUAGGUUUACCUUAUGGAUGGUUUGCUUUCUAGGUUUUUUUCUUUCUAGCAUUGUUAAUUUUAAAAUUUGAAUCUUGCAAUGCCUAAAAGAGUGACAUGUGCUCGAUGAUAGAAGCUGAAAAUGGUGAUUGGUAAUUUUUGUUGAAUGCCAUAAAAUUCAGAGA
This is a long non-coding RNA of Lotus japonicus, 915 nucleotides long. RefSeq lists it as uncharacterized. The transcript is spliced from 5 exons. The record is from RefSeq and is a predicted model, not a curated record. Lineage: Eukaryota; Viridiplantae; Streptophyta; Magnoliopsida; Fabales; Fabaceae.